RNAcentral lists this long non-coding RNA (364 nucleotides) under Ananas comosus (pineapple). RNAcentral's name for it is "long non-coding RNA (ACOM_LNC041696)". Lineage: Eukaryota; Viridiplantae; Streptophyta; Magnoliopsida; Poales; Bromeliaceae. The record is from RNAcentral.
UCAUUGUUUGUCACGCCCCGUGACCGCUACCGAUUUGGUUCGGCCCCGGGCGCGUCGAACAGACGCCGAACGGACAGAGUCUCCCCUGUCCGCAUAAGGCUAAGCAAACGAUCAUGUACAAGAAUUUACCCAGGAAUCAAUUCAUAAGUACACAAUCACGAGAGCACAACAAGUGCUAACAAGACGAGAGCAAGAUACAAGUAUAGAAACAUAUACAAGUACAUCAAGAGAGAAGAGCUAUCUAUUACAUUCACUUGACAUAAUACAUUCCAUUACAUCUUUUACAUUCUUCCAAAAUAUAAGUACAAUCACUCGAACCUCACCCUAUACAUCAUCUACUCUCAAAUACAAAAGGGGUGACGGC